GUCGAUCGAAAAUUGCAGCUGUCGCGCCAUAACCUCUAGGAAUUGCUCCGGGGGACGCCCUACCGUUUUCCCCGCAUUGUCGAGCCCCAAAAUCAAUAUGAAGUACUCGUCCUUUUGCACCAGGCCCGCACUUGUCACGCUCGUGCCAUGUUGGCCGAUCUGGGAGGGGCCGCUGCAUCCGGAGAACAAUGCCAGUGAAAGGCAUACGGCCAUGUUUACUCCUGCUUGUGGAUACGUUCCACUUUGACACUUGAGCAACACUCGACACGAGCUUCGUUUAAUUAAUGUUAUAUUAUGAGCUAAUUGUUUAAAUUUCAACGACCACGCUAAAACGCACAAGAGUGUUUUUCAUAGCAUCUCGUCGAUCAUAACUCUGAUAACGCCUGUGUUAUUAUAUUUAGCUCAGUAGAAACGUGAUAACGAUAAAUCUCGAAUAAUUCAGGAGUAAGCAUGGCGACGGGAGAUGCUCUCUGUGUCAAGCAGCUCUAUCCCGAAUCAUUUCGAUAUUUACGAUUUUUGCGAUUUAAUUAGAUCUGAAAGUGUUGGGAAGAUGAGAAAAUUUGGAGCGAAAACAUGGAGAACGUAAUUUAAGAGAAACAUCAGAGUGUAUCCUUGAAAUAUUUUAUUGUUGAUAAUGUGGAUGUCGCCUAGCUGCAAUACAUAUGCAUUCGUAAUCCAAAAGUAGUACGACUACCUUGUUUUAUGUACAACGCUUUAUUCAGUUACUUUAAUUUGUUUUACUUUACUUUUUUUUUUGCCCUCCACUUCCUCAUCUCACUACUCGUCGUUCAGUCUUGUCGUAAUAUAGUACUUAUGAAGCAGCACGGUGCACACGCUAGAGAAACUCCGUGUUAAACUUCGAAAUCCCAUUUGCUUUCCCUUUUUUUUUUCUCUCUUAAUACAAACGUCAGAUUUCGUUACCCUUGCGUUUUAUCUUAUUACAUUUAGGUAAAACCGUCGAAACCGCCUUCGAAGCCUAAUAACAGCCGCGGCGUAAAGCGCGAGAGCACGUUUCUUUAAAAAUCAUCAGUGCUCCUAUAAGCAGUAUAGUGUAUAUUCUCUUCCAAGACUAUCGUUUACAUUAAACAAUAUCCAAACGUUUAUCGGAGGGGAGAAGGGGGAGACAAAAUUUUUUUUUCCCAAAAUUUUGCACAUUACAUUAGUUGAGCUGUUACUUUUGAUGUUACGUUUUAUUUUCCGUUUUAUUCAACUCCGUUUUGCUCUGUAAACUAAUACCUUUUUUUUUUUACACACCUAAAAGAUUGCACUAUUUAUAGUGUCUAAUUUAGCGUUCGGUGGUUUAUGCCCACUUAAAGUGAAGCUCAAAACCCUUUUAACACCAACGAAGCUCGUGCUCCUUCAUACUAUUCUGAUACACUCACACACGCAUACCUAUAGGGCUAUAUUUAUAUAAACACAACUGCUAUUACUUCACAGUACAGUUUAAUAAAAAGAAUUCGAGAGUACGAAUGUAACGGAAACACAUAUCGACGUAUGCAUUAAGUAUGGAUGUAGAGUAAAGGCGGUUUAUCGUAUCGCGGUAAUUAAAGUCAGGUAAAUGUUCCUUUAAAAGAAAGAAAAAAGGAGAACGGAUAAAAAAAAAUAUAUAUAUAUCUCGCGUUAUGACGCGUCCCGUUACAAGCUGCGAAUCCAGCGCACGGACAUCUAACAUGGCUAUACAUUAUCGAUCAGAAUUUUACUCAUUCCAAUUCCGUUUCAAUGAAUCAGGCUACGUUUUUUUUGGAAAAAUCAAACGAUCCGGGCUGCCAGUCAAAAGUGGAGCAGCGCAGAUACGAUGCAGAUCUCUCUCUUUCUCUCUGUCGCGAUUUAACCAUGUCAAAUUCGUACUUAUUGGAGAGUAUUUGCCCUUGUAGAACGCGAAGCACGUUGCUCCACGGAAUCAUCCACCCUGUAUCGUUAUUUUUUUUA
Molecule: long non-coding RNA, 1929 nt
Organism: Wasmannia auropunctata (little fire ant)
Lineage: Eukaryota; Metazoa; Arthropoda; Insecta; Hymenoptera; Formicidae
Exons: 2
Source: RefSeq, a predicted model, not a curated record